RNAcentral lists this ribosomal RNA (253 nucleotides) under uncultured bacterium. RNAcentral's name for it is "partial 16S ribosomal RNA". It matches the Rfam family "Bacterial small subunit ribosomal RNA", at positions 524 to 776 of the family's 1533-position model. The record is from RNAcentral.
UACGGGGGGGGCAAGCGUUGUUCGGAAUUACUGGGCGUAAAGGGCUCGUAGGCGGCCAACUAAGUCAGACGUGAAAUCCCUCGGCUUAACCGGGGAACUGCGUCUGAUACUGGAUGGCUUGAGUUCGGGAGAGGGAUGCGGAAUUCCAGGUGUAGCGGUGAAAUGCGUAGAUAUCGGGAGGAACACCUGUGGCGAAAGCGGCGCACUGGACCACAUCUGACGCUGAGGCGCGAAAGCUAGGGGAGCAAACAGG